This 378-nucleotide ribosomal RNA is filed under the name Dipteromimus tipuliformis. Its description in RNAcentral is "partial 16S rRNA". The record is from RNAcentral. Lineage: Eukaryota; Metazoa; Arthropoda; Insecta; Ephemeroptera; Dipteromimidae.
GGUAAUUUAGUGGAAUAUUCAUGAUUAAUGGAUCACACACCUACUCAUCAGUAUUUAAUGUAUAAGAAGAGUUUAUCUUAUCUCCCCGUCACCCCAACCAAACAAUUUUAAUUUAAACCUUAACUCUUCCUAAAUUUAUUCAUUACUUAUUAUUGUCAAACUCUAUAGGGUCUUCUCGUCCUCCAACCCCAUUUUAGCCUUUUAACUAAAAAGUUAAGUUUUAACUCAAUCCUUAUGAGACAGUCAACACCUCGUCCAACCAUUCAUACCAGCCUCUAAUUAAGAGACUAAUGAUUAUGCUACCUUUGCACGGUCAAAAUACCGCGGCCCUUCAAUUAUUCAGUGGGCAGGCUAGACCUCUUAUACUCCCAAGAAGCG